AUGGCGCAACUCCUCCCACUCAUUCAUAAUCCGACCUCCGCGUUUGCACUCGCUGCCUACAAGAGCGCCCAAAUUUGAACAUCACUGAUGUUCAUCGGAUUUACAGAGUGACGACAACCCCCGUCAGCAUGUUAGAUAAAGGAUUUAAGUUAUAUGCUGCAUCAUAUAUACACAACUACGAAGUGUCCAAAAAACACAGGUUGACAGGGGAAGUCGGUGUGAGAGCCCUGUGCUACAGGUCAAUGAGGAAGAGUGAGGCACCACACAGACUAAGUAUUAAGCUUCUGGAUUCAUCGCCGGUGGUACUGACACAUAGCCAGUGCUCCUGUGUGGCAGGUGCUGUUAUGUGCAAUCACACAGUGGCACUGCUCUUCCAAACAGCACACUACUCACAACUCAGAGUGCCGGUUGUCCCCCUGUGCAUAGCUGCACCGAAUCUGAACAGCAAUGGCACAAGCCACGGACAGUGGGUGUGAAGCCAGGACCUAUCAACUCUAUGAUCUUCACUAAGCCGGUACCAAAUAGGAUGGCCCAGACUGGAGUACGGAGUGGAUUCUACAGAGGCAUUGUGGGUCCAUUACCAGAUCCCUGACCUGACAAGCCCCUUGUGGAAAGUGCCUUUGGGCUGGUGCAGGAGGGCAGUGUUCUGUCAUGUCAGCAGCCGGUUUUGACAACCCGGUACAUCACACUACACCGUGAUGCACCACCAACACCGCACUUGCCUCUGGAGUAUGGGUAUGACAUGAAGGAAACCCUGCUCGCUCAGACAGCCUGUGAUAUUUUCUCAAACCGCUGCGCUGAACCAGUUUCCAAAGAACAUGCUGUGUGACACAAUAAAUAUCCUUUAACCUGUUAACCUGUGGCUUCUGGAAGAAACUCGGGUGAGUCAGUCACUGCAAACACAUUUGUAUCAUCAAGUGUUUGUCAAAUGAAAAUGAUAUGUUUUCUACACUUAGGAUAAUUUUCUAUGUUGCAGUGCAGUAAAGUGCACGUUUCUUCUGUGUUCAAUCAUACAUGUUCUAAUUGUUAUAAACAGAAAAAAUCUUUUCUUACUUAACUGCUUGAUUCUUAACUUGUUUAACUGAAACAUGAUGAAAUGUCAUAGUAUUAUUUUUUUUUUUAAAUGUCCUUGGCAGUGCAUGUGUCUGCAUUGUAACUUACUAAUAAAAAGUCCUGUGUGUACUUUGGUGUGUGGUUUAUGUUAUUUUAUUGCAAAUAAAUAAUAGUCAUUUUAUUUUACAGUUACACACAAUCUUAUAUCUCUGGCAUGGCAAGGCAAUAUCGGGUACAUGCAAUUCGAAACCUGACAUUCCAGAGCAAAGCAUGAAGCACACAGCACAUGGUCAACGUGACUCAUAUGGAGACUGACAACAUUACAAGGAAUAAAGGAAAAUUGAGGACUUAGCCACAGAAAAGACUUUUUUCCUUUUUUUGUUACAAUAAUUCGAAAAGGUCAACUAUGAUUUUUAAAUUAAUAUCAUAGGUGUGAGUUUAGAGUUCAGAUUUUUUCUGCACAUUCUUUCUUUUUGUAUUUAAUUAUGAUGGUAAAUACAUUUCGCAACAUAUCUGCCUGCACUUGCUCUUAAAGUAGGAACAGUUCACCUUUCCAGCUGUAUUUUUAAUACUGAUGAGUUUACUUUAAUUGUUAGCCUAUUGGUCAAAAUGUAUUGUUCUUCUGAUUCAUGUGUAAUGCUUUACUCAAAUAAUACAUCCACAUUUCAGCACGUAAGCAGCUGUUUGUCUCAGUAUUACCUGAUAACAUACUGAGGCCUGCUGAUCACGAAGUAUGUGGGAAAUAAAAGCAUGUUAGGAAGAGACUAGGGCCAUUUUCAGUUCGCGCCUGCUUUCUCUCCAA
Long non-coding RNA from Oreochromis niloticus (Nile tilapia), 1855 nucleotides. RefSeq lists it as uncharacterized. The transcript is spliced from 5 exons. NCBI's taxonomy places the organism in Eukaryota, Metazoa, Chordata, Actinopteri, Cichliformes, Cichlidae. The record is from RefSeq and is a predicted model, not a curated record.